This 68-nucleotide transfer RNA is filed under the name Mileewa alara. RNAcentral's name for it is "tRNA-Val". The record is from RNAcentral. Lineage: Eukaryota; Metazoa; Arthropoda; Insecta; Hemiptera; Cicadellidae.
CAGAUUGUAGCUUAUAUAAAAGUUUGUUAUUUACAUUAAUGGGAAAAAUUUUCAGUAUUUCUUUCUGA